Molecule: long non-coding RNA, 713 nt
Organism: Hyaena hyaena (striped hyena)
Lineage: Eukaryota; Metazoa; Chordata; Mammalia; Carnivora; Hyaenidae
Exons: 5
Source: RefSeq, a predicted model, not a curated record
UCACCUCUUUCCUCGGAAAUACUGUGGGACAGGGACACAGGUCUCUUCAUCUCUUCCCAGGAAAAGGGAUAUGAAGUUGCAGUAAACUCUGGGGUCCAAGAGGGAUGGUGGAUCUGAUGUCACCAAAUUUGGAUUGUAGAAGAAUGACUUUCAAGCGCGAUGAAUGACGGGUUGCCAGAGGGCGUCACCCAGAGACAGAUCUGUCUCCAGCUGCCCUGUGUUCAGCCCUGUCUUGCGGGAUGGCAAGACGAAUGGUCUUCUUCCCAUGCUCAUCACCGGGACUCAUUCUCACCGACCCUGUUGUAAAUGCCAACUAGAGUGAAUUGUUCAUGCGAUGUCUUCCCACUGCCUCAGAGGAGGUUUGUCUCAGUCCCACGCGGAGCCUCUGCUGCCUUUGAGCAGGCACCGUUCUGGUCCCAGGGAUACCACAGUGAAUGAAACAGAAAAGAUCCUUAUCUCAUGGGACCUGCAGGCACCGAUCCUCAAAGGGUGGUCCAGAUCCUGGAGGCUGGAGGGUCCUGUCCUUGAGAACCUUUCAGGGGGUGAUGUGGGAGGUCAAAACUAUUUUCAUGGCAGCACCAGGAUGCUCUCCGCCUUCUUCAUUUUCAUUCUCUCAUGGGUAUGGUCGAAUUUUCCAGAGGUUACAUGGCAUGUAAUAGCACAACAGAUUGAGUGCAGAAGCAGAUUAAAAUACUCUUUUUCCCCUAAGUACA